GCAUCGAUGAAGAACGCAGCCAGUUGCGAUAAGUAGUGUGAAUUGCAGAAUUCAGUGAAUCAUCGAAUCUUUGAACGCAAAUUGCGCUUUCUGGAUAUCCAGGGAGCAUGCCUGUCUGAGCGUCGUUUAAUAAUCUACACACCUCGGUGUGGGUAGGGAGCCCAUACGUGACUCUUCAUUGAAGAUACGUGCGCGUCUCGAUGUACUUGAACCUAGUGAUGUGCACUGUGCAUUGCUUGGAAGGCUCAACUUGCUUCUGUCCUUCUUCAGCACUGCUGGUGUUUUACACGACCGUUCUGUCUCAGCUCUUCCGGCUGAAAACUACUAUAUUUUGACCUCAGAUCAGACAAGACUACCCGCUGAAUUUAAGCAUAUCAAUAAGCGGAGGA
Molecule: ribosomal RNA, 389 nt
Filed under: uncultured fungus
Lineage: Eukaryota; Fungi
Description: eukaryotic LSU rRNA
Rfam family: 5.8S ribosomal RNA (bases 1-125)
Source: RNAcentral